GUGCUUGUAGCUCAGUGGCAGAGCAUUUGCCUAGCAUAUAUAAGGCACUGGGUUUGAUCCUCAGCACCACA
This 71-nucleotide transfer RNA is filed under the name Marmota monax (woodchuck). It matches the Rfam family "tRNA". Rfam says of the family: Transfer RNA (tRNA) molecules are approximately 80 nucleotides in length. Their secondary structure includes four short double-helical elements and three loops (D, anti-codon, and T loops). The record is from Rfam by way of RNAcentral. Lineage: Eukaryota; Metazoa; Chordata; Mammalia; Rodentia; Sciuridae.